AGUCUGCAGUGCAUGAAGACUUCUCAUCCCCUUCCUCUGCAGUUCAGCCUCAGGGAAGGACCCUGUCAGGACUGGGUCCCAAGUGUCUUGGUGCUCUGUUUACUCUUGCUCUUGAAUAAACUCUGAGGGCUUUCAAUUGGGGCACUACAGACACCAGCAUGUCUAAAUGAAUUGAACACCUGCUGACACGACCGAUCAUAGAGGUUGGGUGAAAAGAAAAGUCUGAGACAGAUUUGAGUCACCAGAAUAAAUCUGAAUUGUGGAGCAACAGAAGACGUAAAAUAGAAGACUUUCAUCUAUGAAAGCUCAUAGAUGGCUGCAUGUGGAAUUUGGUAGUUACAAAGUUACAGAACAGUGCAAUAAGUCUAAAAUUUGAAUUUUUGAAAUACUGACAAUACUCCCACAGAAGUCAUUAACACUUCUGUUCAAAAGAUGGACAUUAUUUUGCAGGUCUGUUUUGCAUGUUUGUAUAAUGUCUUCUGUUUCACAGUGUUCUAUUAUGGGGCUGCUAGCUGGACUGCUGACCUCAUCUCUGGGUCUGCAUGACUGUGAUAUGAUAUGAUACAGAACAAAAUGUCUGUAAUAUCUGUAUCCUACAGAGCAUUAACUACAAUUAGAGUGUCAGUUUAGUUUGAAUGAGGUGCCAUUUGUUUUUUCCCAACAAAAAAACUGCUCCCAACACUCAGUUGCCUGGAUAAAACGCUGUCUCUUGAAAACCUCAGCGAGAAAACAGCUUAUCCUGAAGGUGAACAUCCUGACACAAAUGGUGAGUAAUCUACUUGAAAUAGUCAUAAUGUGACCUGAAAUGUCUUUCUGACAGUGCACAUGGCUUUUUCUCCUGCUCUGGGCUUUUGAACAUUAGAUGACCCUUCAGCUUUUACCUGAGAACAGUACCAUCAGACCUUUUCAUCCCAGCUCAGCUGAAGCAGGUUGCUAGAAUUGGGUCAGAUUGCUGUGCUUUCAGACAAGUUGAAUUCCUUCCUCAGGAGAUUGUUGACAAGCUCAGGAAUUGGACAUACCUCCGUCAAAGCAUGGCAGUAAUCCUUUUUAUGUAUUUAUUUCUACUUCAUCAACUCCGAACAAGAGUUCUCCUUAGAACAUAUGCUUCACUGGAGUUCUGGUUGUGCAGAGUAUUCUGCAUAUGGUGUAUUUUCUGGUGUGUAUAACUCCAUUCCCACCUCAUGUAUUUUUGACAGGGUAUCUCUUGUAGUUAGGAUAAUAAAAAUCACUUGUUAGACUGCAUUCUGAGGGGAAGAAACAUUCUUGUGUUGUAGCUCCUGUUCAGCAAGCUGUCUGAUCUGUGUUGGAGGAAAAAAUCAAUACACAGUUUGACUAGAGAAGUCAGAUCAAAUAUCAAUGUUUACUUUUUAUUUAGAGAGUUCAGGUGCUUUUUGUAGCAAAGCAAUUAAGCUGCUCCUAAUAGUACUACAGUACAUCUUGAAAGAGUUUUUGAGCUGACAUUGCUUUGGAGACAAAAGCAAUAGUGCACAUAUAUAUGCUAUGCUUGCUUUUGUUUCUGGUAGUUCAUCUAUAUUUUAUCUAGUUUAUUUUGACAACAGCUGCCUGAAUAGAUUAUAUAUACUCACUGUUCUUGUGAAAAGAGUAAGCCAUGCCAUGUCAUUGUAAGACAAAGCUGUGUUCUUUCAGGGAAGUCCUCGUCAGAAAUGACAAGUGAUGGUGCUGCAGGGAGUUUACCAAAUUAACUGUUUUUCAAAGCAUACGCUGCCAUUGAUUAUGACCUGACUUCUGAAAAGAUCUGACUUCUGUCACUACAGUCAUGAGAUACCUAUCAAGUGGAACAAACACUCACUGUGCUUGUUCUUGCAUAGCUUUUCCUUUUGAGGAAUUCAUCUGUCUUCGUGAUGUUUUGUGCUUCAGGCUUGCUGUUCAGACCCAUUGCCAGGUUUCUGUUUAUGACAAUAUAUUGGUAAACAAUCAAAUCUGUAAGGUAUAACACAGUUAUGUGGCUCUAAAUAGUUAAAAUGUUGACCAAUAUUAAGAAAAAGAUUUACUUUCAAAAAUUCAUUGGCAGGUAUAUUUGGAAAUACUAUGUCAAAAUGAUUUCAUAAUAAGUGUAGGUUUGUUAAGACUGAGUUUCUUCACUCAGGCCAGCUGCAGUAAGAGCAAGGAAGAUUUGGAACUAAAUUCUGGGAUGUCUGGUUAGUCUGGGAAAGAUCCAUUGGCAGCCCAAGAAAUCACUAGUUUUGUGGUAGAUAAAACAUAGUCCUUGGUGGAGAGGACACGGUAAAUUUUUGUAAGCGCAUCCUUCCUGCAACCAGUCUGUUCUGGGUAAACUGCCACUGAGUUUGGCUUAGGCAGCCUUUGGCCAGAUAACAGAGGGACUGGAAAGCAGAACCCCAAAUACAUGUCUGCUUCCUUACUCCUGCUGUUUAUAAACAAAACAACAUUUAUUCCUUUGAAGGUACAAAGCAAAUAUGAAAAUUUAUAACCAAGUACCCCCUUUUAUUGCUUCUCUCCUUAAUUUUGUCUAUGUUCACCACUCUUAAUAAUAAAAUUGUCUUGUUGCUCUAUGUUCCCUAUUCUUCAUAAGAACUGAUUUUUUUUCUCCUGAUCUUAACCAUAGUGCUGGAAAGAGCGAUUAUCCUUUACCUAGCUGCAGUGAAGUAACUCUGCUAGAUAAACGUUGGUAAGAGUUGCACUUGUGAUUUCAAGGUUCUGGUUUUUUUUCUUCCAAAUCACAUGGAUUUUCUGGAGAAAAGGAGGUUGAAAGGUGACCUGACUGCUCUCCAUGGUUCCCUGGGGAGGAGAAGUAAAGAGAGGUACUGGGCUCUGCUCCUGGGAACUGACAGCACCGUGGGAAUAGCAAAACUCUGCUCCAAGGGAGGGUCAGACUGGGCGUUAGGAAAUAAGUUAAGUUUCUUACAGAAGUGGUUGAUGCCUCUUGACUCUUAAAGUUCAAGAGGUAUUUGGACAACGCCCUCAAUAAUGUGCUUAACUAUUGGUUAGAUUUGAAAAGGUCAGGCAGUUGGACUUGAUCUUUACUGAUCCCACGCAACUGAACUAUCUUUUCUGUUUUAAAGGAUAGAACAUGCUGAACAGAAUUGGUUCUAUUUUAUAAGGCUGCAGUGCUCUAGGAAGCCUUCAGGAACCUACUUUUAAAAAUACAUUUUCAUAAUGUAAAAAACUUAUGUGAUUUCUUGUGUAUUUUUUUCUCAGCUGAAAGUUUUUAAUGAGCUGUGUAGAUACCUCCUGACAACCCAAGUGAAUUUUCUGUAUCAUAGAAGAUAUUUUCAUUUUAUUUAAAUGACUCCUUUUCUUAUUCUCAAAUAUAAAAAGUGCAUGUAAACAGUUCCCAGAAACUUAUACUCUAGCAAAACAAAUAGCAAAGCUUUAGAAUAAUCUUUUUUUUGCAAAACCUACUAACUUGUGAAACAACAGAAUAAGCCAUCUUAGAUGAAACAGUAUUUAAAGUAAGAGGCAAGAAAAUGAAAAGCAUGCUAAUUAUCAGAAAGUCUAUAAUUUUACUUCCAGCACUUUGCAAUUAGUGCACGCAUUUCUCAGAUACCUGCUAUUUAUUUUGAUUUUUUUUUGAUGCAAACUUCUAAGCACAUGAAAAAUUCGUUUUUAUUUGUACUUUCCUACUUAGUGUGUUUUAGCUACAGUUUUGCACUUAACAUGCAAUGAAAGCAUACAACCUGAAAAGUAGAUUUUUUUGUUUAUGAACUGUAAUUAUAACAUAUUAAUGAAAUUAAUAUUACAUUUUGUGCUAGAAACAGAAUAAGAGUGGAGAACAAGCGCUGCAAUUUAAUUUUGUAACAACAUAAUUAAGUGUCAUGUGAACACAAUGUACUACUGUUGGACCCAGUCAUUGCAGUAAGGUUGGUGGUAAAGUGGUUGGAAAUUUUUUUUAUAAUUAUUUGAAUGAUUUUCAUUAGUUUAGUAAAUAAUUUAAGCUGGCUGAUGCAGCUUGGUAUUAUGCUUACAGUCUAGCCAUAACUUUUGUCUGCAGGUUUUGUUUUCCCCCUCAGGAGUUUUGGAAAAUAAUAUGAAUGUUAUAAAUUUAAAUUAGAUGUUACUCUUUUCAAGAGAAGCUUAAGACCUAGGACCAGAGGUCCUCUUUGCCUUAAAUCCCCUUUAUCAUCAAAGCAAACAGUGGCUCUCCUCUCCUGGCCACCUUCUCUCCCUACCCAGCCACCUUCUGGGGGCUGUCACACACAUGCCCAACCAGAUUCCUGCUGUAUCAUGAAACCUGGCUGGAUAACUUCUCCAACACUUUUAGUCCUGACCCCCAUCAGUGUGACAUUAUUCAUGAACUGCAAGACCCUACAUCACCUUGUUGAGGAACUUCAUGAACCUCUGUACUUUUAGUCCUGUGGUUAAUGUGCUGGUGCCUCGCUAUUGUCAAGUUGCUGGAAUUAAGCUCACGCUGUGAGAAUAAAUAUUCCCAGUGUGCUGAGCAGGCAGUGGCACAGGAACUGGAAUAGCAUAGUGAGGCAUCUGAUAUUCAGCUGCAAACUUCUUUGGUUUUGAUGCAUGUAGUUUGACAAUUAUAGCUCAGAAGUUUGCUGAACUAUGGGCUACAUUUUGGACAUCAUGUUUAGCAGCCAUUGGCUGUAGACUUGUCUACAGUCUUUGUAUGAACCUGGUUUUAUUUCCAGCUUAUAAAACACUUUUGUGGGAAGCUGUUUCACAACAUGAAACUUUGUUGAAAUAAAUUGUAUACUAGCAUGUACAUAUCAUACUCCAUGCUAAUGGAAUCUAUCAGUAAUGUACCAAUAGCAACAGAUUGUAUCAUCAUCACUGCUCUUGUCCCCACAAGUCAGUAAGCCUAAGACCAUUUUGAUGUUCAUUUCUUUGGUUGUGUUAGGAUUAGUUAGCUGAGUAAGAAAGAAAUGAUUUGAAGGAAAACCUAUCAUUUUAUGUGUAAAUAUAAUAAUAUUCUCAACCAAAAAAGUCCUUGAUAAAAUUUAGCAAUUAAUUUUUUUAACUGUUCAAUUGUGUUUCUUUAAGGACAAUGAAGAUAAGUUGGUAACACAAAUCUAUGCUUGUAAUAAAUUACAUAGUUAUACUUAAUUUAUCAGUCAGAUAUCUUUAAGGAGUUUCUCCUACUUUUCUGCAUAUAAUUCUGAGUGACAGAGCUGUAAGCCACACACGUUAUAAGUACUGUGGGAUAUCAGAUAGAUUACUUGGAAAAAUGAACUAAUAGUUUGGUUGCUUUUCUUGAAUGCUUUUAGCUGCAGUAAUAUGUAAGUAAUAUGACUCAAUGGUAGCAAUCCUUCAAAACCUGAUCUAACUUAACAAUGUAGUCUGACCAUUGAGUAGCACUUCAUUUCUUAUUUAGUCACAGGGGAAAGGAAAUCGGCCACCUCAACUUUAACAUGGCUUGAAUGAGAAUCUAGUAAUCAGUGCAGGAGAAGUUGAUAGAUAGAGGAUGAUUGCUAGCAAUGGUAGGGACCGUUAUUUCUGCAUUGGCCUUUCUGUCUUAUAUUCAGGCUUGGUUUAUUUAACUUUGUUCUCAGUUAUUUAUACGAGGAUUAAUAUCGCUGGAUAACAUUUCUUGAUGCCUUUUUCAUUUUAACAGAAUUUAAGUCAGCAUUAGCAGGAUGCUUUAUCACACUAGAAAGAUUGUCAACGGUGCUUAAGUUUCUCCCAAGCUUUUUGAGAGCUGAAGAUUUUGGUAAAACUUCUAACAUUAUGGUUGCUUCUAUACUUCAUAUUACCUGAAUGAAUCAGGUAUAUUAUUGAAUGAAUCAUAUUGAAUGAAUAAGUAUAUUAGAUGAGAAUUAAAACCUUAGGAGAAAGAUUUCUGUACUCUUUUGAAUACUUUCUUUUUAAUCCUGCAGUGCUACUUAGAGGGUUAGUUUUCUUUUUUUAUCCAAUACGGUCAAGGUAUCUUCAAAGGAUGACAUAUAGCGAGCUGCCUUCUCCUUUUAUAUGAAGUUUUCAGAUUCAGUUUUCCAAAGUUCCCAUAGUGUGUUGUACCACCAGAAAUCAAAAAUGACCUAUUGCUCUGGCUCUUGAUGAUACUUGAGUAGUGUUCUUAUCAAAGAGAGCAAAUGUCAAACUGUAGAGCUCGUCAAAUGUGAAGACAAUAGGUUCUAUAGACACCUGAUAUAAAGCACAUUAAAGUUUUAGAUAGCAUGUUGCUGCUGAGUUACUAUGCCAACCAGAAAUUAGCUUUGCUAUUUCUUCAGCUGAAGAUCCCUUUUGGAACACAGACUCAGUGACUGAGGCAUAAAAGCCCACACGCAUUAUUUCAAGGGUGGAUUUAAUACACAAGUGAAAUAUAGACCUUGGAAAAUGCAUGUUUCUUUUGAGAGGAGCAGAAUCUAGAUAUUUAUUCUAGAAUCUAAGGGCACUGUAGGAACACCUUAUCCUGUAAUAAAUUACAAAAACAGAUUGCGUAGUUGGUUAUUUGUGUAUCCAAUCCCACUGUAUUACUUGCAGCUCCCCAGAAAUCUACCGGGUAUAUAAAUGAUUACACUUCUCCUCAUCAAAACAUGUAAUCUUUUUCUUGAUGUGCACAUUACAGGAAAUAUGCCUCAAAUCUUUUUUAAAUGAAAUCAUUUUUUUCUAUAAGAACUUAUGAUUUUUGUUGAGAUACUCUUUCCUUGUUGAUCUGCCUAAUGUCUGAAGUGAGAGCUUGAAUUUGGGAGCAGAAAGGGGUUUUAAUCUAGAUUUAACUAGAUGAUCCUUAAAGUCUCUUGCAACCCAGGCAAUUAUAUCAUUAAAGUUAAAUCAAUUCUAUGUUCUACUAUUUCAGAAGACUUCGUUCAGCUGUUUAAACAACAUCCAUUGAAAAGUAUUAACCUCCAGAAAUUUUAAAGGUCUAUGGAUAUCAGUCAUGAAGCUGUGGAGGGGGAUAUCUUAUCACAAUAUUGUAUUUGAAAGUAAUAAAAUCUGCUCAGUUGCUCUUCUGCUCUGGUUCAGUAAGCUGUAUUUACAGUGCUCAUUUCCCUGACUUGCCUAAACUCAAAUGUGUCCAAGGCUAAAACUGCACUUACCAGCCCAGUCUGCUGUACCACUGAACAUAGCCUCAGCCUCAUCCCAGCUUUGGCCAUUCUCUUGCAGCUCUAUGGAACAGCCAGGGUAUCUCCC
This 7059-nucleotide long non-coding RNA is filed under the name Gallus gallus (chicken). The record is from RNAcentral. Lineage: Eukaryota; Metazoa; Chordata; Aves; Galliformes; Phasianidae.